GACAAACGCUGGCGGCGUGCCUAAUACAUGCAAGUCGAACGAGGUAGCAAUACCUAGUGGCGCACGGGCGAGGAACACGUAGAUAAUCUGCCCUAAGCUGGGGGAUAACCAGUCGAAAGACUGGCUAAUACCGCAUAAGACCACAAGAUCUGCGGAUCAAGGGGUUAAAGGAGCAAUUCGGCAUAGGAUGAGUCUGCGUCCGAUUAGCUAGUUGGUGAGGUAACGGCUCACCAAGGCUGUGAUCGGUAGAUGGUCUGAGAGGAUGAUCAUCCGCACUGGAACUGAGACACGGUCCAGACUCCUACGGGAGGCAGCAGUAGGGAAUAUUGGACAAUGGGGGAAACCCUGAUCCAGCAACGCCGCGUGAGUGAUGAAGGCCUUCGGGUCGUAAAGCUCUGUCGCAGGGGACGAAAAAAAUGACGGUACCCUGCAAGAAAGGACCGGCCAACUUCGUG
This 455-nucleotide ribosomal RNA is filed under the name uncultured organism. Its description in RNAcentral is "bacterial SSU rRNA". It matches the Rfam family "Bacterial small subunit ribosomal RNA", at positions 28 to 507 of the family's 1533-position model. The record is from RNAcentral.